UCUGCAUUUCUCUCAUCUCAUUUGGGGUUUUACUGAAUGUUGUGGUUUUUGAUCCAUUUCAGAUUUUGCUUUAUGUUCCUCUACUUGUCUUGCAAAAGCAUUUCGGCCUUCAAGCUUAUCGAUCGACAAAGGUGUUUCACUGGAUUUUGAUCCAAUAGUGUAGAAGAACGACGAGAUUCAAUUGUUUGUUGUCCUAAAGUUUUCAUCAUUACUUGUGACAUUGACUGCAUUAUUUUGAGUACCCAUGGCUUUUCAUUUGUAAUAGCAUCUUCUUGUAAUUACCCACAAACCCAUCAAGCUCCCAAAGUGUCUCAACAUCAAAAGCUUCAAUCUCAUCCUGGAUGGUGGUGGUUUAUGCAUAAUUCUAUCAGGUGUCACAGUCCUCAUUCUAUCUGGAGUUGAUGAUGCUAAAACCCUCUGUCGAACAAAACCCAGUCAUUCCCUUUCCGAUUCAUCAUCAGAAAUCCCAACAACAAUGCUGCUACUUCUACUCCCACCAUUCUCGUUCUCCAUCUUCUUCAUAUCACUCUCGAAUUUCCAAUAAGCAGGUUCGAAGUUCUCAUUGAAUUGAUUAACAAGUAUUUCAGCUAAAACAUUAACUUCAUGACCUUUAGGAUUGUAUUCUAAUGCAUUGUUGAAUGUUAACCUAACAUCCGAAGCAAAUUCCAAGGGUGUUUUGUAUACAGCUUUUCUUUCACAGUACCAAGAUCCAUUGGGUUGUGAAUAAUCGAGUUAUAAUCAUGAAGCAUCAAUUUAAUUGAAUCAACUGGUUCGUUAAAGAUAUACCCAUGUUUAUGUUUCACAAGAUUUUUUAAGAAUGUACCAUAUCUCUACUUUGAUAAGCAAGCUGUUUGGUCAUUGUAAUUGUGGAGUCUUGCUAAGUACCUAAGUUGUUUGUUUUGCAUCCCUUUUCAUGUCAGAGAACUAAUUGCUGUUGAAGUUCGAGGCAGGUUACGGUAUCGUGGUUAUAGCCAGUCCAUGGAUAUAUCUCCGGGUACACGGAUUUGUACCACUAUUGUUUUGCAGUUGUGAUUUUGCUCUUGUUAAUAACAGGAAUAUUUCAACUUUCAACAGUAACCUGGUUUAUGAAGUUCAGAAUGCACAGCUGCAGUUAGCGAGCUGAGGGACAAAGAGUUGGACUUGAGGACCUUAUUCAUAAGGGGUAAAGAAUUAAGCAAUGCAAAAAGUGAGUUAGGUGAUUCAGGUCCAGUUGUAACCAAAGCUGAUAUUUCACCACAUUGUUGCUUCUU
This is a long non-coding RNA of Papaver somniferum (opium poppy), 1250 nucleotides long. RefSeq lists it as uncharacterized. Lineage: Eukaryota; Viridiplantae; Streptophyta; Magnoliopsida; Ranunculales; Papaveraceae. The transcript is spliced from 4 exons. The record is from RefSeq and is a predicted model, not a curated record.